Molecule: RNase P RNA, 490 nt
Filed under: Crenobacter cavernae
Lineage: Bacteria; Pseudomonadati; Pseudomonadota; Betaproteobacteria; Neisseriales; Neisseriaceae
Description: Crenobacter sp. K1W11S-77 RNase P RNA component class A
Rfam family: Bacterial RNase P class A
About the family: Ribonuclease P (RNase P) is a ubiquitous endoribonuclease, found in archaea, bacteria and eukarya as well as chloroplasts and mitochondria. Its best characterised activity is the generation of mature 5'-ends of tRNAs by cleaving the 5'-leader elements of precursor-tRNAs.
Source: RNAcentral
GAAGCCAACCAGACAGUCGCCGCAUCCUUUGGUGGAUGGGGAGGAAAGUCCGGGCUCCAUAGGGCAGGAUGCCGGUUAACGGCCGGACGCCGCGAGGCGAUGGAAAGUGGAACAGAGAGCUGAACCGCCGAUGGCCGGACUUGUCGCCCGCAAGGGCGACAAAGUCUUUAUCCAAGCAGGGUGUAACCCGGCUCGGAGAAUCCAAGCAGGGUGAAAACCCUGACGGACGGCACAGGCAAGGGUGAAAAGGUGUUCGGGCGCGGCGUAAGCCAAGCCCGGAGGUUGGGUCGAAAGAUCCGGCUCGGUAAGAGCGCACCGCGGACGUGGCAACACGGACGGCAGGCUAAACCCCAUCCGGAGCAAGGCCAAAUAGGGGUGCAUUGGCGUGGCCCGCGCUGCACCCGGGUAGGCUGCUUGAGCCUGUCGGCAACGGCAGGCCUAGAGGAAUGACUGUCCACGACAAAACCCGGCUUAUCGGUUGACUUCCCCC